CCUACGGGAGUCAGCAGUGAGGAAUAUUGGUCAAUGGGCGGGAGCCUGAACCAGCCAAGUCGCGUGAGGGAAGACGGUCCUAUUGAUUGUAAACCUCUUUAGGCGGGGAGCAAUGCCGGGCACGCGUGCCCGGCGGGAGAGUACCCGCAGAAUAAGCAUCGGCUAACUCCGUGCCAGCAGCCGCGGUAAUACGGAGGAUGCGAGCGGUAUCCGGAUUUAUUGGGUUUAAAGGGUGCGUAGGCUGAUUUUUAAGGCAGCGGUAACAUGUCCGGGAUCAACCCGGGCCGGCCGUUGACACUGGGGAUAUGGAGUGGGCGAUAAGUAUGUGGAAUGCGUGGUGUAGCGGUGAAAUGCAUA
RNAcentral lists this ribosomal RNA (357 nucleotides) under uncultured bacterium. RNAcentral describes it as "partial 16S ribosomal RNA". It matches the Rfam family "Bacterial small subunit ribosomal RNA", at positions 338 to 692 of the family's 1533-position model. The record is from RNAcentral.